This 116-nucleotide non-coding RNA is filed under the name human gut metagenome. RNAcentral's name for it is "pemK RNA". It matches the Rfam family "pemK RNA". The record is from RNAcentral.
ACAAUGAUACUUAUGUCCAGUCUCAGGUCGAGCGUAGAAACGGAAACAGAGCCGUGAGCCGUCGCAACCGAAGAGGGCAUCUGUGUGAGAACCACACGGGGGUGAAAGUCCCAUGA